GCUGGAUGUGUUGGCACACACCUGUAAUCCCAGAUAUUUGAGAGGCUGAGGCAGGAGGAUUGCAAAUUUGAGGCCAGCCUUAGCAAGAACCCGUCUCAA
Molecule: small RNA, 99 nt
Filed under: Marmota monax (woodchuck)
Lineage: Eukaryota; Metazoa; Chordata; Mammalia; Rodentia; Sciuridae
Source: RNAcentral